GGGGAUGUGGCUCAGUGGUGGAGCGCUUGCCUCGCACAUGAGAGACCUGGGUUCAAUCCUCAGCACCA
This is a non-coding RNA of Ictidomys tridecemlineatus (thirteen-lined ground squirrel), 68 nucleotides long. The record is from Rfam. NCBI's taxonomy places the organism in Eukaryota, Metazoa, Chordata, Mammalia, Rodentia, Sciuridae.